AGCUACAUCUGAAUACUGGGUCA
Molecule: microRNA, 23 nt
Filed under: Danio rerio (zebrafish)
Lineage: Eukaryota; Metazoa; Chordata; Actinopteri; Cypriniformes; Danionidae
Description: dre-miR-222b
Gene: dre-miR-222b
Source: miRBase by way of RNAcentral